This is a long non-coding RNA of Larimichthys crocea (large yellow croaker), 1194 nucleotides long. RefSeq lists it as uncharacterized. Lineage: Eukaryota; Metazoa; Chordata; Actinopteri; Sciaenidae. The transcript is spliced from 7 exons. The record is from RefSeq and is a predicted model, not a curated record.
GAUGUGUGGAGGUGUUUCGAGGACAUUUUGAAUCGCUGUUUGGAGGGAAUUUGACAGGCUGUACUAAUCGUUUGUCUGUCCUUGGUGUAAAACUCUUAAGCCUGAUUUAUACCGACCAAUUUCAACAAGAAGGAGCAGGAGCCCUGCUUAUGUUAGGGUGGCUGUGACAAACUUCAGGCUCAAACAAACAAAGACAAACAUGACAGCAGCCUCAUGUGCCUGCUUUGGGAUUGCCCAGUUUGAGGGGGUUAGGACCAACGCAGAAAAAAGCGGGAAAAAUGGGAACCUCUGAUGCCACUAGAUCAGUUUCUUCUGCCAGUACCCAUCUCAAUCACUGCCACAUCAGCUGGUCCCAAGGUUGUGAGGUCGUCAGAACAUCUGGCCCCCUCCGCCAUGUUUUCUAAGUUGGACAUAGUGAAAAUAUAAUCGACCUACAGCAGCGGCUUUCUCAACCUGAUCUUUUCUCACUGGAAGAAUUACUGCAGGUGGAUGGCCUUCUGCCAGUUAGACCUGGCUCCGAGUGCUGCAGUGUCAACACUGAAGAGUGAGGGCCAGAGGGGUGAUGGUGUUCUUGGCUCGAAGGCUCAAAGGCUGAUGGAACGUGGACUUCUUUUUUCUGAGGCUGCCAGGUCUCAGAUACCAAAGAGCAGUGGAGAAAAAAAAAACACAUUUCUGUGUUAAAACUUCAAAUAUCUGAGUCCUGAAAGAGAUGAAACCCAACAGGAACUGCUGACAGGAUUUUCUUGCCAGAGCUGUGUUGAUGUCUCCUGAUUAUUUCCCUUCCUUGAUUAAGGGCUGUUCUGUGAAGAUUCAAAGCAUUCAGGGGUGUGAUGGGAUUAAAUGAGACACUGUAAUGACCCUGUUGUCGGAAUGGCUCAUCAUACAGACACAAAGCUGAGAUCGGAGCCUGGCGAAAACCAGGAAACACUGUUAUAAACUGGGAGCACAGUGUCACGUUGUUGUCUUUGAGGAAAGAGAUUUAGCUUUUUCUGUUUUAAAUUCUUCAAAUGCGGACGAUUAUUUUUUCAAUAGCUUGCUCUUAUUUAUGUACUAUGUUGGCUUAAAGUCAGUUUGAAGCAUUGAAAUUAUAUUUGGAUAUAUUGUCGUUCCUCAAUCGCUGUAAUUUGUUGAGUUAUAAGAAACUAAAACUCUGUCUCGUUCACAUCUAAUGAAAAAAAAUGCUGAUAAAUAAUA